Long non-coding RNA from Sarcophilus harrisii (Tasmanian devil), 2814 nucleotides. Lineage: Eukaryota; Metazoa; Chordata; Mammalia; Dasyuromorphia; Dasyuridae. The record is from Ensembl.
GCGGAGCAGGGGGCGGGGAGGGAGCGCGCGGCGGAGAGAUCCCCGCCAGGACAGAGUGUGCCUGGGGAGGGAGAAGGGGCAGGCCGGGGAGCGGGGAGUGUCGCCAGCAGGAAGCCAUCCCUCGUAGUUCGAGCGCGGCCAGGAUCGGCCGGCCCUCCGUGACGUUACUCAUCUUCCAGGGAUCUCUAGUCUCCUCUCCUCCCCUCCCCUCCCUCUUACCCUCUUUCCUCUCUCCCUCUCCACCCCUCCUCCCUGUCCCCUCCCCCUCUCUCCCUCGAAUCCCUGUCUCUGCACAUCUCUCUCCAUCAGCUUUCUCCGGACCUUCGCCGCCAGCAGCAGCAGCAACAGCAGCAGCGGCACCUCGGCGGCCCAGGCAGCAGGCGAGGGGUAGCCAGCGGCUCCCCCCCCCCCCUCCCCGGGGCUCCCAUCCCCCCUCCUCCACCUCCUCCCGGCCCUGCCCUUCCCAGCUCUGCUUGAAGGGGAUCCCCCUUGUCUCUCUCUGCUCAGUCCCCCCCUGCAGCGCCCCAGGAUCCCAGCCCCCCUCCCUCCGCCAGCCCCCCUACAGAGCCGGAGGAACCGCGCGGCGGAGACAAGGAUGUGACUGCACCCGGCGGCGGAGGGUGCACUCGGCGGCGGCGGCGGUCGGAGUGAAGCUGCGGACGCCCGGGGCUCCCUCUCUCCUCUCUCGCCCUCUCUUCUCCCGCUUCCCCCGGUCCUCCCUCCGCGGCCCCCGGCCGUCCCACUGCCCCGGCCCCGCGCCCCCCGGCUCGCCGCCUCGGGGCUCCCCUCCCCUGCCCCGGACCGCCCCUCUCCGGCCGCCCGCCUGCUCCAGCGCUGACCCUGUCCGCCGGCGGGGAAGGAGGAGGAGGAGGCGGCACCGCCGAACCACCGGGCGAGAACAUGUCGGAAGUGCUGCCGUUUAACGAGGAAAAGCUGGGGCACUAUGGAGACGGGGGGGACGUGGGCCAGAUCUUCACGUGCCGCCUGCAGGAUACCAACAACUUCUUCGGGGCGGCUCAGAACAAGAGACCGCCCAAACUGGGCCAGAUCGGCAGGAGCAAGAGAGCUCUGACAAGGGCAGAGGCUUGAGGGCAGAAGAGGAAAGCUAAGGGAUAGCUGGAGGUAAGGGAGCCCAAGACCAUAGUGGACAUCUACUGGAGAGGGAGAAGCCCCCCUCUCCCCCCCCCCUUCCCUUUCCUCCUCCCCCUUCCCUUCUCUAGGAGAAAAGGCCUGCUUAUACUUUUCACUUUCUUUUCUGCCUUACAGUUGUUAUUGAAGAUGAUAGGAUUGAUGACGUGCUGAAAAAUAUGACAGACAAGGCACCUCCUGGUGUUUAAAGCCCCCAAAGACACUGAGUUAAGGGACAAAAAGAUGAUAAUAAACACAGCAACUUCACACAGUUUAUUGGCAAAAAAAAAAAAAAAAAAAAGCAAUUUGGAAAAAAAAAAAUCUUCAUUACUCUAGCCUGCAGUCCACAAUGCAGACACACCACCAACCUGUAUCUUGUGUCAGGCCUGGGGACGGAAGAGGUGUGAGCAUAGCAAGGACAGAAACAAAAACAAAGAGCAAAAAAAUUUUAAAAAAUUAUUCAACAGAUUAAUUGAUUUACACACACUCAUAAGGAAAUUGACAUCAGCUGCAGCUGUUUGUCUAAAUUAAUAUGCGUUUCCUUUUAUAUACAGCGAAUAUUGCGCAAUUCUAGACCUGGAUUUCCAGCCACUUUAAAUAAUGCAGCAGCAGGAGCAGCAGCAACCGCCUGCCCAGCAAAAUGCCUCUGGGUUCCUGGUGGGAGGGGGGGGGGGGCUGGCAUCCCCUUUGCUGAUCUGGCUGCCCUGAAAGUCAGCCCUUUGUUUACAUUAUUCCCAUCUGGCAAAAACGAUUCUGUGCACUUAGAUGUGAGAUGCUGUCCGUUUCAUUUUUACAGAAAUAUUCAUAUCUUUGAUGUGUGUAAAACAAAACAAACAAACAAAAAAAAACCAGAAAAAAAAACCCCAGAAUGACUUAUAUAUAAAUAUAUAGAUAGUUAUUCUAUUUCGUUUUCCCGCCACCUUGGAAGGUCUUCCUGGGUGGGAUGUGCGUGCGCUCCACUGAACAAAACCAACCCACUUUCCCUAAGGAUUGCCAUCUAGGAAGAGUUUUCUCCUGAUUUCAAUGUGCUGUGAAGCUUGUGUUCUCUGGACUGCUUGCAAGCAAUCCGGACUCGAGUUCACAUGGACGAAUUUGGUGGGGGGGGGGGGGGGAGGAGGAAGGGGGGAAAAAGCCUCCUCUCUGUUGUAUGAGCCCCCACCCCUGUUCUUUCCUCCUCCCGGUGUUGUGGCGAUUCAUCCUCUUCAAUGAAUGGAUUGUACAAAAUGUGAUCACGAGAGUGCCAAAUACCUGGAAAUGCCAAAAGGCAGUUUGGUUUGGUUCCCCCUUUUUGUGCUCCCUGAGCCCAUGUAAAGCAGUGCUUCGUUGGAGUCUCUCUUUUCUGGGUUAUUUAUCGGGCUUUCUCUUAAGGCAGAACCGCUCUCCUUUUUGCAUGAUGUUUGCAGAGAUGCCUCUUGUGCAGGGGCUGGGGGUGGGGGGGUCUUUUCACCAUUUUGUUUUCUUUCUUCUUUUGGGUUUGCAACUUUGGAUGACAAACCUCAAAGAGGUUUCUUUUGCCUUCCCUCCGGCUGCCCCCUUGCCCUUCCCUCUCUCCCUUUUCUUAAUUCAAUAUUGUGUAUAUGGUGCACUGUUAACCACUACACAGGGCUAUUUCUGCAAUGUACAAUAAAAGGGACUGUUCCUGUGUCUAACCUCUGUGUCUUAUUUCGGUGGUCUAUUGGAGCGGGA